GUCUAGUCGAGGUAAGCCGCAUGGCUCUAAGCCAGAGCUUGACUGUUUUGUGGACUGACUACUUUUAAUUUCUAUGCAGCUCUUAUGUUCACUCUCACGGAACCACGAGGCGUGCUGGCUGCAGUUGUUUUUGUCUAGUGUAGCUCUUAUGUUUACUGUCACGGAACCACGAGGCGUGCGGGCUGCAGUUGUUUUUGUCUAGUCGAGCUCUUAUGUUCACUCUCACGGAACCACGAGGCGUGCUGGCUGCAGUUGUUUUUGUCUAGUGUAGGUAAGCCGCAUGGUUCCAAGCCAGAGCUUGACUGUAUUGUGGACUCACUACUUUUAAUUUCUAUGCAGUUCUUAUGUUUACUGUCACGGAACCACGAGGUGUGCGGGCUGCAGUUGUUUUUGUCUAGUCGAGGUAAACCACAUGGUUCCAAGCCAGAGCUUGACUGCAUUGUGGACUGACUACUUUUAAUUUCUACGCAGCUCUUAGGUUUACUGUCACG
Dermacentor albipictus is the source of this 491-nucleotide non-coding RNA. NCBI's taxonomy places the organism in Eukaryota, Metazoa, Arthropoda, Arachnida, Ixodida, Ixodidae. The record is from RefSeq and is a predicted model, not a curated record.